AGCUCCAAUAGCGUAUAUUAAAGUUGUUGCAGUUAAAAGCUCGUAGUUGGAUUUCUGGUGCAUUCCACUGGCCUAUUGGUUAACUCCAACUUGGCUCAUUUGGAAUACGCCAUCUUUAGGCAGACCCGUCGUGGCAUUAGGUUGUCGUGAUGGUUACGCCUAUCGUUUACUGUGAAGAAAUUAGGGUGUUCAAAGCAGGCUUAUGCCAUGAAUACGUUAGCAUGGAAUAAUGAGAUAGGAUUUCGGUACUAUUUUGUUGGUUUGUGUACGGAAAUAAUGAUUAACAGGAACAGUGUUGUGGGUAUUCGUAUUUCGUUGUCAGAGGUGAAAUUCUUGGAUUUACGAAAGACGAACGACUGCGAAAGCAUUUACCAAGGAUGUUUUCA
Molecule: ribosomal RNA, 386 nt
Filed under: uncultured eukaryote
Lineage: Eukaryota
Description: SSU rRNA
Rfam family: Eukaryotic small subunit ribosomal RNA
Source: RNAcentral